AACUGCGAAUGGCUCAUUAAAUCAGUUAUCGUUUAUUUGAUAGUACCUUACUACAUGGAUACCUGUGGUAAUUCUAGAGCUAAUACAUGCUAAAAACCUCGACUUCGGAAGGGGUGUAUUUAUUAGAUAAAAAACCAACGCCCUUCGGGGCUCCUUGGUGAUUCAUAAUAACUUAACGAAUCGCAUGGCCUUGCGCCGGCGAUGGUUCAUUCAAAUUUCUGCCCUAUCAACUUUCGAUGGUAGGAUAGUGGCCUACCAUGGUGGCAACGGGUAACGGGGAAUUAGGGUUCGAUUCCGGAGAGGGAGCCUGAGAAACGGCUACCACAUCCAAGGAAGGCAGCAGGCGCGCAAAUUACCCAAUCCCGAUACGGGGAGGUAGUGACAAUAAAUACUGAUACGGGGCUCUUUUGGGUCUCGUAAUUGGAAUGAGUACAAUCUAAAUCCCUUAACGAGGAACAAUUGGAGGGCAAGUCUGGUGCCAGCAGCCGCGGUAAUUCCAGCUCCAAUAGCGUAUAUUAAAGUUGUUGCAGUUAAAAAGCUCGUAGUUGAACCUUGGGUCUGGCUGGCCGGUCCGCCUCACCGCGAGUACUGGUCCGGCUGGACCUUUCCUUCUGGGGAACCUCAUGGCCUUCACUGGCUGUGGGGGGAACCAGGACUUUUACUGUGAAAAAAUUAGAGUGUUCAAAGCAGGCCUUUGCUCGAAUACAUUAGCAUGGAAUAAUAGAAUAGGACGUGUGGUUCUAUUUUGUUGGUUUCUAGGACCGCCGUAAUGAUUAAUAGGGAUAGUCGGGGGCGUCAGUAUUCAGCUGUCAGAGGUGAAAUUCUUGGAUUUGCUGAAGACUAACUACUGCGAAAGCAUUCGCCAAGGAUGUUUUCAUUAAUCAGGGAACGAAAGUUAGGGGAUCGAAGACGAUCAGAUACCGUCGUAGUCUUAACCAUAAACUAUGCCGACUAGGGAUCGGACGGUGUUCUUAUUAUGACCCGUUCGGCACCUUACGAGAAAUCAAAGUUU
RNAcentral lists this ribosomal RNA (1012 nucleotides) under Phialomyces arenicola. RNAcentral describes it as "SSU rRNA". It matches the Rfam family "Eukaryotic small subunit ribosomal RNA", at positions 85 to 1106 of the family's 1831-position model. Lineage: Eukaryota; Fungi; Ascomycota; Eurotiomycetes; Eurotiales; Aspergillaceae. The record is from RNAcentral.